Molecule: ribosomal RNA, 343 nt
Filed under: Trioza sp. 10 NS74C
Lineage: Eukaryota; Metazoa; Arthropoda; Insecta; Hemiptera; Triozidae
Description: partial 12S ribosomal RNA
Source: RNAcentral
UUUAGUGUAAAAUAUGCUGGAGUAGUAAUUGUUAAUAUCCUCAAACUCAAAAAAUUUGGCGGUAUUUUAUCUUAUCAGAGGAACCUGUUUAGUAAUUGAUGAUCCACAACUAAUUUUUACUUUUAUUAUAAUAUUUGUAUACCGCUGUCAUGAACAUAUUUAAAAAUUAAUUUUUUACAUUUUUUAUGAAAUUUAUGUUAGGUCAAGGUGCAGUUUGUAAAAGAGUAGAAUGGGUUACAUUAAAAUAAUAUGAAAGGAUCAAGCUAGAUUAAUGCUUGUGAAAAAGGAUUUGAAAGUAAAGUUGUUUAAUAGAAACAAUAUGAAUAAAGAUUCUAAAAUAUGU